This 423-nucleotide ribosomal RNA is filed under the name Clostridioides difficile. RNAcentral describes it as "bacterial LSU rRNA". It matches the Rfam family "Bacterial large subunit ribosomal RNA", at positions 588 to 1010 of the family's 2925-position model. The record is from RNAcentral. Lineage: Bacteria; Bacillati; Bacillota; Clostridia; Peptostreptococcales; Peptostreptococcaceae.
CUUGUGUGACCGCGUACUUUUUGUAGAACGGGCCAACGAGUUACGUUAAGUAGCAAGGUUAAGCACUUAAGGUGUGGAGCCGUAGCGAAAGCGAGUUUUAACUGAGCGUUCAGUUACUUGACGUAGACCCGAAACCGGGCGACCUACCCAUGAGCAGGAUGAAGCGAAAGUAAAAUUUCGUGGAGGUCCGAACCCACGAGCGUUGAAAAGCUCGGGGAUGACUUGUGGGUAGCGGUGAAAUUCCAAUCGAGCCCGGAGAUAGCUGGUUCUCCCCGAAAUAGCUUUAGGGCUAGCCUCAAGGUGAGAGAUACGGAGGUAGAGCACUGAAUGUCCUAGGGGGUAUUGCACCUACCGAAGACUAUCAAACUCCGAAUGCCGUCAUCUUAUACUUGGGAGUCAGACUGUGGGUGAUAAGAUUCAUAG